UGUCAUGACUGUUGGGUCUGUUGGUUUUCUAUUACUCUUACUACAUUUACUAGUAAAUUAAUUGCCAUGUAGAGAUAUAAUUUCUACCAAAAACAGUGAUUGAGCAGGUUAGUGAUGUUGGACUUUUAUUCUGAACACAACUGUACCAAUACUUUUACCAAACAUGUUAGCGAAAUGGAGAGUUUAGUGGAAUAGUAAGCUAGAGCAAAGAAAUCAAAUAACUAACUUUAGUUUUUGGUCUGCAGCUCUUGCUCGGAAUUCCAGAACAAGCAUUAAAUAUCCUACACAUGGCUAUUGAACCCAUUCUGUCUCAUGGGGCUGUGCUGGAUAAAGGUCAGGCCAUGUUUCUGGUAGCCAAAUGUCAAGUAGCUUCAGCUGCAUCCUAUAACCUGCAAAGGAAAACAGAAGGUUAGGAGUCCGACAUUCUAAAUCUUAAUGAAGCUAAAUCAUACUUUGCUAUUGUGGAUUGCAAAGAGCUGAUCCAGGACAUCUUGUACUUGUAAGCUAGGCUGUAUAACACUUUGGGCAACAUACAAGAAAGGAACAAAUGCUCAAUGAUUUUCCGCCAGAUGCAUCAGGAACUUCCUUCUCAUGGGGUAUCAUUAGUUAUUCGCCUAUAGGAGCUCAGAUGACACAACACUGUGGCUGCUCCUUGUGAGGGUAAAUUGCCCUGGACCAUUCAAUUCUGUGAUUUUUGUUUUGAGGCAAAAUCUCCUGGAUUGAUAUAUAAAGGUGAUGCAAAGCCAAUGCCCAAAGAUGUCCUCUUGAAGGCUGCUUCAUGAAAAAACCAAUAAUGAUUUUCAGAACAAGUUCUUUUUUCAGAACCUGCCAAAUCUGGCACCUCUUUACAACCUGAAGCUGGCCAUAGACGCAAAGAGCCGAUCGUACGAAACGACAAUUCGUACUAUUUUCGGACCGUGUGUGGAGAGUCCCGACAUUUUUCGUCCUGCGGAGAUCGGUCGUUUGGACGAUCGGCCGAUCGUUUGAGGAUUCGAACAAUCGUAUCUUUGCAUCUAUGGCCAGUUUAAGAGUUUUGCUGCCUUUAUUUGACAGUAUCUGUUCCACUGGAUCCUGUUAUGAUAGGACAUACAGAAAUCAGCCUCUAAAUGUAGUCGAACAAACAGUACAUGUGUAACACUGUAUAGUGUUCUCAAGAACAAGUAUUUGUUUAUAAUGGCAUAGUAUGUACUGUCUGAGGUGUUUUUAAAGUAAAUUAAUCUUCAUAAUGA
Molecule: long non-coding RNA, 1229 nt
Organism: Xenopus laevis (African clawed frog)
Lineage: Eukaryota; Metazoa; Chordata; Amphibia; Anura; Pipidae
Exons: 2
Source: RefSeq, a predicted model, not a curated record